Molecule: ribosomal RNA, 463 nt
Filed under: uncultured bacterium
Lineage: Bacteria
Description: partial 16S ribosomal RNA
Rfam family: Bacterial small subunit ribosomal RNA
Source: RNAcentral
CUACGGGUCGCUCCAGUGGGGAAUAUUGGACAAUGGGCGAAAGCCUGAUCCAGCAAUACCGCGUGUGUGAAGAAGGCCUGAGGGUUGUAAAGCACUUUCAAUAGGAAGGAAUACCUAUCGGUUAAUACCCGGUAGACUGACAUUACCUAUACAAGAAGCACCGGCUAACUCCGUGCCAGCAGCCGCGGUAAUACGGAGGGUGCAAGCGUUAAUCGGAAUUACUGGGCGUAAAGCGUGCGUAGGCGGUUGUUUAAGUCAGAUGUGAAAGCCCUGGGCUUAACCUGGGAACUGCAUUUGAUACUGGGCAACUAGAGUUGAGUAGAGGGGAGUGGAAUUUCAGGUGUAGCGGUGAAAUGCGUAGAGAUCUGAAGGAACACCAGUGGCGAAGGCGGCUCCCUGGACUCAAACUGACGCUGAGGUACGAAAGCGUGGGUAGCAAACAGGAUUAGAUACCCGCGUAGUC